GAGAUGGCUCAGUGGUUAAGAACACUGGCUACUUGCUCUUCCAGAGGUCCUGAGUUCAAUUCCCAGCAAUCACA
RNAcentral lists this transfer RNA (74 nucleotides) under Mus musculus (house mouse). RNAcentral's name for it is "tRNA-Ala". The record is from RNAcentral. Lineage: Eukaryota; Metazoa; Chordata; Mammalia; Rodentia; Muridae.